This 373-nucleotide ribosomal RNA is filed under the name uncultured organism. RNAcentral's name for it is "bacterial SSU rRNA". It matches the Rfam family "Bacterial small subunit ribosomal RNA", at positions 526 to 896 of the family's 1533-position model. The record is from RNAcentral.
CGUAGGGUGCGAGCGUUGUCCGGAAUUAUUGGGCGUAAAGGGCUCGUAGGCGGUCUGUCGCGUCGGGAGUGAAAACUCGGAGCUUAACUCCGAGCCUGCUUCCGAUACGGGCAGACUAGAGGUAUGCAGGGGAGAACGGAAUUCCUGGUGUAGCGGUGAAAUGCGCAGAUAUCAGGAGGAACACCGGUGGCGAAGGCGGUUCUCUGGGCAUUACCUGACGCUGAGGAGCGAAAGUGUGGGGAGCGAACAGGAUUAGAUACCCUGGUAGUCCACACCGUAAACGUUGGGCGCUAGGUGUGGGACACAUUCCACGUGUUCCGUGCCGCAGCUAACGCAUUAAGCGCCCCGCCUGGGGAGUACGGCCGCAAGGCUA